This 832-nucleotide ribosomal RNA is filed under the name uncultured bacterium. RNAcentral describes it as "bacterial SSU rRNA". It matches the Rfam family "Bacterial small subunit ribosomal RNA", at positions 67 to 869 of the family's 1533-position model. The record is from RNAcentral.
ACGCUUCUUUUCUACCGAGUGCUUGCACUCACUUGAAAAGAGGAGUCGGCGGACGGGUGAGUAACACGUGGGUAACCUGCCCAUCAGAGGGGGAUAACACUUGGAAACAGGUGCUAAUACCGCAUAAUAGUCGACACCGCAUGGUGUUGAUUUGAAAGACGCUUCCGGGUGUCACUGGUGGAUGGACCCGCGGUGCAUUAGCUAGUUGGUGAGGUAACGGCUCACCAAGGCGAUGAUGCAUAGCCGACCUGAGAGGGUGAUCGGCCACACUGGGACUGAGACACGGCCCAGACUCCUACGGGAGGCAGCAGUAGGGAAUCUUCGGCAAUGGACGAAAGUCUGACCGAGCAACGCCGCGUGAGUGAAGAAGGUUUUCGGAUCGUAAAACUCUGUUGUUAGAGAAGAAUAAGUAGGAGAGUAACUGCUCUUACCUUGACGGUAUCUAACCAGAAAGCCACGGCUAACUACGUGCCAGCAGCCGCGGUAAUACGUAGGUGGCAAGCGUUGUCCGGAUUUAUUGGGCGUAAAGCGAGCGCGGGCGGUUUCUUAAGUCUGAUGUGAAAGCCCCCGGCUCAACCGGGGAGGGUCAUUGGAAACUGGGAGACUUGAGUGCAGAAGAGGAGAGUGGAAUUCCAUGUGUAGCGGCGAAAUGCGUAGAUAUAUGGAGGAACACCAGUGGCGAACGCGACUCUCUGGUCUGUAACUGACGCUGAGCUCGAAAGCGUGGGGAGCAAAUAGAUUAGAUACCCUGGUAGUCCACGCCGUAACGAUGAGUGCUAAGUGUUGGGAGGGUUUCCGCCCUUCAGUGCUGCAGCAAACGCAUUAAGCACUC